UGAGGAAUAUUGGUCAAUGGACGGAAGUCUGAACCAGCCAAGUAGCGUGCAGGAUGACGGCCCUAUGGGUUGUAAACUGCUUUUGUAUGGGGAUAAAGUUAGGGACGUGUCCCUAUUUGCAGGUACCAUACGAAUAAGGACCGGCUAAUUCCGUGCCAGCAGCCGCGGUAAUACGGAAGGUCCAGGCGUUAUCCGGAUUUAUUGGGUUUAAAGGGAGCGUAGGCUGGAGAUUAAGUGUGUUGUGAAAUGUAGACGCUCAACGUCUGAAUUGCAGCGCAUACUGGUUUCCUUGAGUACGCACAACGUUGGCGGAAUUCGUCGUGUAGCGGUGAAAUGCUUAGAUAUGACGAAGAACUCCGAUUGCGAAGGCAGCUGACGGGAGCGCAACUGACGCUUAAGCUCGAAGGUGCGGGUAUCAAACAGGAUUAGAUACCCUGGUAGUCCGCACAGUAAACGAUGGAUGCCCGCUGUUGGUACCUGGUAUCAGCGGCUAAGCGAAAGCAUUAAGCAUCCCACCUGGGGAGUACGCCGGCCGGU
Molecule: ribosomal RNA, 537 nt
Filed under: uncultured bacterium
Lineage: Bacteria
Description: bacterial SSU rRNA
Rfam family: Bacterial small subunit ribosomal RNA
Source: RNAcentral